GUGAACGCUAGCGGGAGGCUUAACACAUGCAAGUCGAGGGGCAGCAUAGGGUAGCAAUACUCUGAUGGCGACCGGCAAACGGGUGAGUAACGCGUAUGCAACCUACCCUGUACAGGGGGAUAACCCGGAGAAAUUCGGACUAAUAUCCCGUAAUAAUAUCCGGAGGCAUCUUUGGAUAUUUAAAGUUUCGACGGUACGGGAUGGGCAUGCGUAACAUUAGCUGGUUGGUAAGGUAACGGCUUACCAAGGCUAUGAUGUUUAGGGGUCCUGAGAGGGUGGUCCCCCACACUGGUACUGAGACACGGACCAGACUCCUACGGGAGGCAGCAGUGAGGAAUAUUGGUCAAUGGGCGCAAGCCUGAACCAGCCAUCCCGCGUGCAGGAAGACGGCCCUAUGGGUUGUAAACUGCUUUUCCAGGGAGAGAAACUUACGCACGUGUUGCGUGACUGACGGUACCCUGGGAAUAAGCAUCGGCUAACUCCGUG
Molecule: ribosomal RNA, 486 nt
Filed under: uncultured bacterium
Lineage: Bacteria
Description: bacterial SSU rRNA
Rfam family: Bacterial small subunit ribosomal RNA
Source: RNAcentral